RNAcentral lists this ribosomal RNA (596 nucleotides) under Aspergillus sp. XMX001. Its description in RNAcentral is "eukaryotic LSU rRNA". The stretch from base 216 to 369 matches the Rfam family "5.8S ribosomal RNA". The record is from RNAcentral. Lineage: Eukaryota; Fungi; Ascomycota; Eurotiomycetes; Eurotiales; Aspergillaceae.
GCUUCCGUAGGUGAACCUGCGGAAGGAUCAUUACCGAGUGUAGGGUUCCUAGCGAGCCCAACCUCCCACCCGUGUUUACUGUACCUUAGUUGCUUCGGCGGGCCCGCCAUUCAUGGCCGCCGGGGGCUCUCAGCCCCGGGCCCGCGCCCGCCGGAGACACCACGAACUCUGUCUGAUCUAGUGAAGUCUGAGUUGAUUGUAUCGCAAUCAGUUAAAACUUUCAACAAUGGAUCUCUUGGUUCCGGCAUCGAUGAAGAACGCAGCGAAAUGCGAUAACUAGUGUGAAUUGCAGAAUUCCGUGAAUCAUCGAGUCUUUGAACGCACAUUGCGCCCCCUGGUAUUCCGGGGGGCAUGCCUGUCCGAGCGUCAUUGCUGCCCAUCAAGCACGGCUUGUGUGUUGGGUCGUCGUCCCCUCUCCGGGGGGGACGGGCCCCAAAGGCAGCGGCGGCACCGCGUCCGAUCCUCGAGCGUAUGGGGCUUUGUCACCCGCUCUGUAGGCCCGGCCGGCGCUUGCCGAACGCAAAUCAAUCUUUUUCCAGGUUGACCUCGGAUCAGGUAGGGAUACCCGCUGAACUUAAGCAUAUCAAUAAGCGGAG